Panthera uncia (snow leopard) is the source of this 576-nucleotide long non-coding RNA. RefSeq lists it as uncharacterized. The record is from RefSeq and is a predicted model, not a curated record. NCBI's taxonomy places the organism in Eukaryota, Metazoa, Chordata, Mammalia, Carnivora, Felidae. The transcript has 2 exons.
GCAAAGUUUCUAAAAAUAUUUGACCUGAGAAUCUUUUUCUUUCCAGCAACAUCUGUUUAACUUUGCAGAACUAGAAUUCUGCAGAAUAUUCUUGGGAAAGCACAUUAUAUAGACAGACUAGUAAACAUUUUAGGCUCUGUGGAUAUGGUCUCUGUUGGGAUUAUUCAAUUCUGUCAUUGUAGUGUGAAAGCUGUCCUAGGCAAGAUGUAAAUGAAUGGGUGUGGCUGUGACUCAAUAAAGCUUUAUUUACAAAAGAGGCAGCAGGCUGUAGUAUGCAACUCCUGAUCUAGGAUUUGAGAUAGUAAAGGACUGGCAAUUAUAAGUUUUUAAAGUGUUUUGUCAAGGCCUGCUGUUUGUGCUUUCUCCCUACAGGCCCCAUUCCCUUCCCCACCCCAAUUAAUCUGCCAUCUCAAGGUUCAGAAGGAUAGCAAUUGAGGGAAGGAGGGGACAGAGACAAAGGAAGAAGAUGGGGAUGGAGAGAGAAGGAAAAGGUGUCCACAUGGAACACUGGGAAAAGGGCAUCCAUGUUUCACACUCUCAUGGUCCAUUUGAUUAAAUAAAUGUCCACUGACUGAA